AAAAGAGUUAAGUUUAACCGUGGUAGUGAAUACUAUGGUAAAUUUAACAAUUCAGGUGAACAACGUCCAAUAAUUUUUAUUUUUAUUUUUCAAUUAAAACUGCAGCAUAUGCCUUUAAUAUCCGGUUAAAGCAAGACCUUAUAAUACAAAUGAGAAGAAGGUACAUGUUUUAUGAUCCCACAAUUAAAUUUCAUUUUUCUAUCAGGAGUUCUUUGAGGAUGUCGAAUUUGCAGGGGGAGAUAUGGUUAUGGAGGAAUAUAUUGAUAUUUCCACAGGUGUUUAACUCUCCAUACAAGAAAUUGUUCCAUAUGAACAAACUUUUACACCUCAAGAAN
Molecule: long non-coding RNA, 335 nt
Filed under: Trifolium pratense (red clover)
Lineage: Eukaryota; Viridiplantae; Streptophyta; Magnoliopsida; Fabales; Fabaceae
Description: long non-coding RNA (TPRA_LNC011523)
Source: RNAcentral